Molecule: ribosomal RNA, 806 nt
Filed under: uncultured bacterium
Lineage: Bacteria
Description: bacterial SSU rRNA
Rfam family: Bacterial small subunit ribosomal RNA
Source: RNAcentral
AGCUUGCUUCCUGAGACCGGCGCACGGGUGCGUAACGCGUAUGCAAUCUACCUUGUACAGGGGAAUAGCCCAGAGAAAUUUGGAUUAAUGCCCCAUAGUAUUAUUAAAUGGCAUCCUUUAAUAAUUAAAGUUCCAACGGUACAAGAUGAGCAUGCGUCCUAUUAGUUAGUUGGUGUGGUAACGGCAUACCAAGACGAUGAUAGGUAGGGGUCCUGAGAGGGAGAUCCCCCACACUGGUACUGAGACACGGACCAGACUCCUACGGGAGGCAGCAGUGAGGAAUAUUGGACAAUGGGCGCAAGCCUGAUCCAGCCAUGCCGCGUGCAGGAAGACGGUCCUAUGGAUUGUAAACUGCUUUUAUACAGGAAGAAACACUGGUUCGUGAACCAGCUUGACGGUACUGUAAGAAUAAGGAUCGGCUAACUCCGUGCCAGCAGCCGCGGUAAUACGGAGGAUCCAAGCGUUAUCCGGAAUCAUUGGGUUUAAAGGGUCCGUAGGCGGCCUUAUAAGUCAGUGGUGAAAUCUCCUAGCUCAACUAGGAAAUGGCCAUUGAUACUGUAGGGCUUGAAUUAUUGUGAAGUAACUAGAAUAUGUAGUGUAGCGGUGAAAUGCUUAGAUAUUACAUGGAAUACCAAUUGCGAAGGCAGGUUGCUAACAAUAUAUUGACGCUGAUGGACGAAAGCGUGGGGAGCGAACAGGAUUAGAUACCCUGGUAGUCCACGCCGUANACGAUGGAUACUAGCUGUUUGGAGCAAUCUGAGUGGCUAAGCGAAAGUGAUAAGUAUCCCACCUGGGGAGUACGAACG